AAGUCGUAACAAGGUUUCCGUAGGUGAACCUGCGGAAGGAUCAUUACAGUGUCUGGAGGCCGACCGGCGGCGUUUCCCUCACGGGGAGCGUCGUGGCUCGUGCCCCCUCCACACGUGUUUACUACACCCUGUUGCCUUGGUGGGUCUGCCCUUGUGGCUGCCGGGGGUCACCUUGUGUGUCUCGGGCCCGUACCCACCGAUGGACACCCUGAACUCUUUAUGAAUAUAGUGUUGUCUGAGCGUUUAGCAAAUUAAACAAAACUUUCAACAAUGGAUCUCUUGGUUCUG
Molecule: unclassified non-coding RNA, 288 nt
Filed under: Aphanoascus sp.
Lineage: Eukaryota; Fungi; Ascomycota; Eurotiomycetes; Onygenales; Onygenaceae
Description: partial internal transcribed spacer region
Rfam family: Eukaryotic small subunit ribosomal RNA (bases 1-46)
Source: RNAcentral